AACGCACCUUGCGCUCCUUGGUAUUCCGAGGAGCAUGCCUGUUUGAGUGUCAUGAAAUUCUCAACUGCCUUUUUAGCAUUUAUGUUAAGGGGUGAAGUUGGAGUUGGAGGAUAACUGCUGGCGCAACUCAGGUUGCUUGUUGGCUCCUCUUAAAUGGAUGAGCUUUUCUGAUGGAUCGUAGCUUGGCGUGAUAAUUAUCUACGUUAGGCUCCUACGGAAAAGGGACGUCUUUUGACUUGUAACAAAAUCUGACCUCAAAUCAGGUAGGACUACCCGCUGAACUUAA
RNAcentral lists this unclassified non-coding RNA (286 nucleotides) under uncultured Pseudotomentella. RNAcentral describes it as "sequence contains ITS2". The stretch from base 1 to 52 matches the Rfam family "5.8S ribosomal RNA", at positions 103 to 154 of the family's 154-position model. Lineage: Eukaryota; Fungi; Basidiomycota; Agaricomycetes; Thelephorales; Thelephoraceae. The record is from RNAcentral.